Molecule: ribosomal RNA, 460 nt
Filed under: uncultured bacterium
Lineage: Bacteria
Description: partial 16S ribosomal RNA
Rfam family: Bacterial small subunit ribosomal RNA
Source: RNAcentral
CCUACGGGGGGCAGCAGUGAGGAAUAUUGGUCAAUGAACGAGAGUCUGAACCAGCCAAGUAGCGUGAAGGAUGACUGCCCUAUGGGUUGUAAACUUCUUUUAUAUGGGAAUAAAACGUUCCACGUGUGGGAUUUUGUAUGUACCAUAUGAAUAAGGAUCGGCUAACUCCGUGCCAGCAGCCGCGGUAAUACGGAGGAUCCGAGCGUUAUCCGGAUUUAUUGGGUUUAAAGGGAGCGUAGGUGGAUUGUUAAGUCAGUUGUGAAAGUUUGCGGCUCAACCGUAAAAUUGCAGUUGAAACUGACAGUCUUGAGUACAGUAGAGGUGGGCGGAAUUCGUGGUGUAGCGGUGAAAUGCUUAGAUAUCACGAAGAACUCCGAUUGCGAAGGCAGUUCACUGGACUGCAACUGACACUGAGGCUCGAAAGUGUGGGUAUCAAACAGGAUUAGAUACCCUUGUAGUC